AUUUAAAUUAUAUAAUUUUUUAAGUAAUUUUGAUUAAAUAAAUAAAGUAAUAAUAUAAAAUUAAUAAUAUUUAGUAAUAUGAAUAAAAAAUAUAAUAAUUAAAUAUAAAUAGUAUUGUAAAAGAAUAAAAAUAUUAUUUUAAAAUAAAUAUUAAAAUUUUUUACCUUUUGUAUCAGGGUUUAUUAAAUUUAAUAAAUAAAAAUUUUAAUUCUCGAAAUAAACUGAUCUAUUUAUAUAUGAUAAUUAAUGUAACAAUAUUAUUAUUAAUUUAUAAAUAGUAAUGAGAGGUUAUUCAUAGUUUAUAUAUCUAGUUAUUUUAUAAAUAAAUUUAAUUUAAUUAAAAUUAAAUUAUAUAUAUUUACUAUAAAAUAUAUAUAUUAAUUUUAAUAAAAUUAUUAGGGAUAAACUUAAUAAUUAUAUUAAUAUAUUAAUAAUAAAUAAAUAAUUAUAAUAAAAAUAAUAAUUUUUAUUUAUAAAUAAUUUAUAAUAAUUAAUAAAUAAUAAAUAUAAUUUUAAAAUUAUUUAAUUAUAUAUAAAAUUAUUAGUUUUAAUUAAAUUAAAUUAAUUAAUAAUGAUAAAAUUAGUAAAUAAAAUUUAAUAAAAUUAUAUAAAAUAAAGAUUAUUUUAAGGAAUUAGGCAAAAAUUUUUAUUCACCUGUUUAUUAAAAACAUGGUUUGUUGAAUUAAUAAUAAUAAAUCAAUUCUGCUCAAUGAAAUUAUUUAAAUAGCUGCAGUAUUUUGACUGUACAAAGGUAGCAUAAUCAAUUGUCUUUUUAUUAAAGUCUAGAAUGAAAGAAAUAAUGAAAUAAAAACUGUCUCAAAAUAAAUAAAUUUUAAAAUUUAUUAUAAGUUAAAAUUCUUAUAUUUUUAUAAAAGACGAGAAGACCCUAUAGAAUUUUAUUAUUAUAUUAAUUAAUAUUAUUAAAUUUAAAUAAUUUAUAUUAUUAUAAUAAUUAUAUUGGGGGGAUAAUAAAAUUUAAUUAAUUUUUAUAAUUUUUUUUUCUAAUAUAUUAGAAUUAUGUAACCAAUAUUAUUGAAUUUAAAUAAAUUACCUUAGGGAUAACAGCGUUAAAUUUUUAAAGAGUUCAUAUUGAUAAAAAUUUUUGCGACCUCGAUGUUGAAUUAAAAUUAAUUAUUAUUGUAGAUAAUAAUAAAAUUUAGUCUGUUCGACUAUUAAAAUUUUACAUGAUUUGAGUUUAGAUCGGUGUAAGCCAGAUCGGUUUCUAUCUUUAUAAUAUUAAAUAUAUUUUUGUACGAAAGGACUUAAUAUAAAUAAUAAUUAUUAAAUUCAUGAAUAAAAUUAUUGUAA
This 1308-nucleotide ribosomal RNA is filed under the name Nasonia oneida. RNAcentral describes it as "16S ribosomal RNA". The record is from RNAcentral. Lineage: Eukaryota; Metazoa; Arthropoda; Insecta; Hymenoptera; Pteromalidae.